This 253-nucleotide ribosomal RNA is filed under the name uncultured bacterium. RNAcentral's name for it is "partial 16S ribosomal RNA". It matches the Rfam family "Bacterial small subunit ribosomal RNA", at positions 524 to 776 of the family's 1533-position model. The record is from RNAcentral.
UACGAAGGGGGCUAGCGUUGCUCGGAAUCACUGGGCGUAAAGCGCACGUAGGCGGGUCGUUAAGUCGGAGGUGAAAUCCUGGAGCUCAACUCCAGAACUGCCUUCGAUACUGUAGAGCUUGAGUUCGGGAGAGGUGAGUGGAACUGCGAGUGUAGAGGUGAAAUUCGUAGAUAUUCGCAAGAACACCAGUGGCGAAGGCGGCUCACUGGCCCGAUACUGACGCUGAGGUGCGAAAGCGUGGGGAGCAAACAGG